Non-coding RNA from Phascolarctos cinereus (koala), 424 nucleotides. The record is from RefSeq and is a predicted model, not a curated record. NCBI's taxonomy places the organism in Eukaryota, Metazoa, Chordata, Mammalia, Diprotodontia, Phascolarctidae.
CGGCACUCGGGUCCCCGCCGCGCGCGGCCCUGUGCCUCUCUCCCGGGGAGCCGCGCGCGACGACCCAGGGCAGCUUGGCAGAAACAUGGAUGAGCCCAUGGCCCUAAUCAGCUACAAUAUAUUUUCUGCAACAGACUACUGGUACAGAAUGGAGAAAGCAUGGCCAGACAGCAGUUCAUGUGGAAAAGAAAAAAACUGGGCAACAACUCAAUGUGAGUUAGCGUGCCAUGACAGUAAAAAAAAAAAAGCUAACAAAAUCUUUGUAUCAAUAGAGGCACAAUGUCCAGAACAAGGGAGGGGAUAGUCCUGUUGUGCCAGGCCCUUCAGACCACAUCUGGAGUACUAUGUUCAGUUCUUGGCGCCAUAAUUUAGGAAGGCAUUUUAAAAAUCUGAGGGACUUCCCAUAAGCAUGACCAGCAUAAUG